Molecule: ribosomal RNA, 699 nt
Filed under: Triticum aestivum (bread wheat)
Lineage: Eukaryota; Viridiplantae; Streptophyta; Magnoliopsida; Poales; Poaceae
Description: partial small subunit ribosomal RNA
Source: RNAcentral
AUGUCCAGUGCUCCGGCGACGGCAAAGACAGUUCCAAACCGCCUGCCUCGCCUCUCAAUCACAGGUGAGCCGACGGGAGCUGGUUCCUUUCCUCCCCGACGCUCUUCUUCACCUGGCCGGAGCACCUGCUCCUCCCAUCACGCACAGAUCGACGGAGCAGUUCGAUGGUCGUUGCCCAGGCUGCGUGCAGUUCAGUGCUGCUCUGCCCCCAUUGACUUCAACCACCAACCCGCGAGAGAAGAGAUGGCUAUUGAUGAAGCCGAGCUUGAGCCUCUAGAAUUUGCCGAGAAAAUGCACACUCAACGGGAAUUACAACAACAGAAACUGGAGAUGUUAGUUCAAAUUAGAAAACACAAUUCCGAGAGCCAAUCUGUCAUACUUGAGACUUUGCAGAGGCAGUUGGAGAGUGCUGAUUUCGAUACCAGUGCAUCAAUAUUCACUCCGGAGCAGAUCCAAGGGAUUGUUGAGAAAUACUCCAGUUCACAUAUUUCAAGAGAUGUGCAGAUGGGGGACAUGAAAGGAACGAAGGAAAGGGAACGGAACGAGCGAAGAAAGGCUGGGCUGGCUCCAAUGGAGCUAGGACGGCGUGGAGUCAGCAGACGGGGGAGCGCAGGCGCUAGGCAGCGAUCACGGGGCUCCACGUCUACCGUCGGGGCGGCAUGCUCGAUCUGCAGAGGACAUGACGAUGACAGGGGUAUG